RNAcentral lists this long non-coding RNA (445 nucleotides) under Triticum aestivum (bread wheat). Its description in RNAcentral is "long non-coding RNA (TAES_LNC007347)". The record is from RNAcentral. Lineage: Eukaryota; Viridiplantae; Streptophyta; Magnoliopsida; Poales; Poaceae.
UGCCGGGCCAUAUCUAUCACCUCUCUAAGGUUCAAAAGCAACUCCUUUGCAAAUUCAUGGAACUUCUAUUGUUAUAUCACGUUGUUUUCUUCAGUAUCAUCAUCUUUUUUUGGUCUCACUGAAUCAGGUUAAGAAGUGGAACGAGCAGAGGGAGAAUGGGAGAUUUGCAGGUCCCCUCUAAAUCAUCCGUUUGAGAUUCUCCUCAGUUGCUUUUGUGUCGGUGCUAUUGUUGUCUUAUGUUCGAAUUUGUGCUCCUAUAAUGUACUCUUUUCCAGCAAUCGUUGCAGAACAUAUGUGAUGUUUUUCUGUUGCACAAAUAACUCGGCAUGCUUAUGUAUUUUGUUAUCCAGUAUACUUAAAUGUACGCUUUCCUGGGACUUGGGAAUGCACAAUUAUGUUGUUGUGAUGUGACUGCACAAUGGUGUGAUGAUAUAUUGAUUCCAAG